UACAGAGGGUGCAAGCGUUGUUCGGAAUUAUUGGGCGUAAAGAGCUCGUAGGCGGUUUGUUGCGUCGGCUGUGAAAUCCCGAGGCUCAACCUCGGGUCUGCAGUCGAUACGAGCAAACUAGAGUGUUGCAGGGGAGACUGGAAUUCCUGGUGUAGCGGUGAAAUGCGCAGAUAUCAGGAGGAACACCGGUGGCGAAGGCGGGUCUCUGGGCAACAACUGACGCUGAGGAGCGAAAGCGUGGGGAGCAAACAGG
Molecule: ribosomal RNA, 253 nt
Filed under: uncultured bacterium
Lineage: Bacteria
Description: partial 16S ribosomal RNA
Rfam family: Bacterial small subunit ribosomal RNA
Source: RNAcentral